RNAcentral lists this ribosomal RNA (1125 nucleotides) under Salmonella enterica. Its description in RNAcentral is "partial 23S ribosomal RNA". It matches the Rfam family "Bacterial large subunit ribosomal RNA", at positions 497 to 1439 of the family's 2925-position model. The record is from RNAcentral. Lineage: Bacteria; Pseudomonadati; Pseudomonadota; Gammaproteobacteria; Enterobacterales; Enterobacteriaceae.
AGUACCGUGAGGGAAAGGCGAAAAGAACCCCGGCGAGGGGAGUGAAAAAGAACCUGAAACCGUGUACGUACAAGCAGUGGGAGCCCCACCACUAAGCCAGUGGUGAACUCCACAUACGCAUCCUUUGCUGAGGAUACGGUUAACGGAGCGAAAGCGACGUUCAACCUCAAAAGAAGCAGAGGGGGCUUAGUGGUGGGGUGACUGCGUACCUUUUGUAUAAUGGGUCAGCGACUUAUAUUCUGUAGCAAGGUUAACCGAAUAGGGGAGCCGGAGGGAAACCGAGUCUUAAUUGGGCGUUAAGUUGCAGGGUAUAGACCCGAAACCCGGUGAUCUAGCCAUGGGCAGGUUGAAGGUUGGGUAACACUAACUGGAGGACCGAACCGACUAAUGUUGAAAAAUUAGCGGAUGACCUGUGGCUGGGGGUGAAAGGCCAAUCAAACCGGGAGAUAGCUGGUUCUCCCCGAAAGCUAUUUAGGUAGCGCCUCGUGAAUUCAUCUCCGGGGGUAGAGCACUGUUUCGGCUAGGGGGUCAUCCCGACUUACCAACCCGAUGCAAACUGCGAAUACCGGAGAAUGUUAUCACGGGAGACACACGGCGGGUGCUAACGUCCGUCGUGAAGAGGGAAACAACCCAGACCGCCAGCUAAGGUCCCAAAGUCAUGGUUAAGUGGGAAACGAUGUGGGAAGGCCCAGACAGCCAGGAUGUUGGCUUAGAAGCAGCCAUCAUUUAAAGAAAGCGUAAUAGCUCACUGGUCGAGUCGGCCUGCGCGGAAGAUGUAACGGGGCUAAACCAUGCACCGAAGCUGCGGCAGCGAACGUAUCACUUAAAGCGAUUCAGCGGAUUACGAUUGACGGAGCGAAGCGACGUCAAAGCGUAUACAAAGUCGAGUCGGUUUAAGGAUACGUUCGUUGGGUAGGGGAGCGUUCUGUAAGCCUGCGAAGGUGGCCUGUGAGGGUUGCUGGAGGUAUCAGAAGUGCGAAUGCUGACAUAAGUAACGAUAAUGCGGGUGAAAAACCCGCACGCCGGAAGACCAAGGGUUCCUGUCCAACGUUAAUCGGGGCAGGGUGAGUCGACCCCUAAGGCGAGGCCGAAAGGCGUAGUCGAUGGGAAACAGGUUAAUAUUCC